Molecule: long non-coding RNA, 759 nt
Organism: Canis lupus familiaris (dog)
Lineage: Eukaryota; Metazoa; Chordata; Mammalia; Carnivora; Canidae
Exons: 3
Source: RefSeq, a predicted model, not a curated record
CCGUUCCAGACGUUUUCCGUAUAUUAACGAGCCUGCCACGCUCACAACCAUCCUACGCGGCAGAUGCCGUCCCGGCCCUCAUGUGGCAGAGGGGGAAGGAAAGCGCAGAGAGCUGAAGUCACUGGCCCAGGCUCACAGGGCACUUGCGGGAGAGUGAGGACGCAGAGCCAGGCCCUGGGCGCCACACUCCACGCAGACGACCCUCCCCUCCGCCUCCUGUGCCCACCAGGCGCUGCUUGCCUGGGAAGAGGCCGAGGCCGGCAACCCAGGGAGCUUCAGACUCACUUCCUACCCCUCAGCCGAUGGAUCCCAAGCCCCUGUUAGGUGUGAGUGUGCAGCACGCGUAUCCACACGGAUUAUGAUCACACCCUGGGCCGAAGGCAGAUGCUCAACCGCAGAGGCACCCAGGUUUCCAAUUUAAGAGGACAUGCCAAAUUCAACAGAAAAGAAAAAUCUGAAGAUGGCAUUUCAGCCACCAUCAGACGUGAAGAUGACGGCAUCUACCCGUCCAUGUGUCACACGCCUUGACCUUUGGGGUGCUGGUCGGCGGGGAAACGUCUGGCUGCACAGAGGGGAUGAUUUGCCUCCAAACGCAGAGCCCGGUGCUGGGGACAUAAUGGGAAUUUGUGACACUCGAUGGAGAACUUGAGGCCCAUAAACCCUUAGACAGUAUGUAGUCGCUCAUCUGUGACAGACAUAAUAGGGAUAAUCGUCACCUAAUAAGUAAUCCAGGGCUAAUUAAAUGUUACUAAUACACGU